Molecule: ribosomal RNA, 264 nt
Filed under: uncultured bacterium
Lineage: Bacteria
Description: partial 16S ribosomal RNA
Source: RNAcentral
CUGCUGCCUUCCGUAGGAGUCUGGUCCGUGUCUCAGUACCAGUGUGGGGGACCUUCCUCUCAGAACCCCUACGCAUCGUCGCCUCGGUGGGCCGUUACCCCGCCGACUAGCUAAUGCGACGCAUGGCCAUCCUAUGCCGGAGUCGCCUCCUUUGACCCCCAAGAAGAUGUCUCCUAAAGGUGUUAUGCGGUAUUAGACGGAAUUUCUUCCGCUUAUCCCCCUGCAUAGGGCAGGUUCCAUACGUGUUACUCACCCGUGCGCCGG